This 555-nucleotide unclassified non-coding RNA is filed under the name Hevea brasiliensis (rubber tree). Lineage: Eukaryota; Viridiplantae; Streptophyta; Magnoliopsida; Malpighiales; Euphorbiaceae. The record is from RNAcentral.
UUGAGAUGAUAGCAAAGCUGAUGAAUGAGUUGUUCAAAGUACCUAAUGAUGAUAAGAAAACAACAGGAGCCACAGGUCCAUUUGAGGAAAAUCUGAGAACAUCUUUCCUGUUAUCUGUGGUUGUCCUGCUGGUUGUGGUUGUGACUCGAGCCCAUAGGGCUGGACCAUAAUUUAAAAAAAAAAAAAAGUACAGUUAGGCUAACCACACAUCCGGUAAGGAACACUGCUCCUUUUGUACUCGCACAUUUAUAAGUAUUCUCACUGCAUUUAUGUUAGGGCUAAAGUUUGGGAUACUUCCUAAGAUCUCUCAGGUUGAAUGAAAUUCCUUUCAUCACCUUAACCAACCCCUUGAGGGUGACUUUACCUUAAUUUGCCGACAUAACGGGUGGUAUCCUUUCUGGGGUAUUUACUUUUGAGUCUUUCAUCUCAGGAUAUAGUUGUGUUAGCGCUUAUGGCUAUGCAUUUUUCUUUUUUUAAUUAUGGCUAUGUAAUUAAUUUUAAGUCCUUUUGUCUUGUUAAGAACGCCUCUCUGGAUAGUCUUAUUAAUGUCAACUU